RNAcentral lists this small RNA (1550 nucleotides) under Histoplasma capsulatum. RNAcentral's name for it is "hypothetical RNA". RNAcentral also lists the same sequence under 1 other name. Lineage: Eukaryota; Fungi; Ascomycota; Eurotiomycetes; Onygenales; Ajellomycetaceae. The record is from RNAcentral.
ACGACUCACCAUACCUUUGCUAUGAUAUUGCUCUUGUAUAUCAUCACACUUGAAGUUACAGAUUGCGAUCCCUAUACUCCGAAAGUCAACACUUUUCUACAGAAACUCCUAGCUCUAUCCAGUCAAACCGGCUUUGGUCGGGUCCACGUACCCGCUUAACCUUCCAAGAUGUCGGACGACGAUUUUAUGCAGGACUCCGACCAGGAGGAAUAUGACUUUGAGUAUGAGGACGCCGAUGAAGAUGAGGCUGGGGAUGUUGGAAUCGAAAAUAAAUACUACAAUGCAAAGCAGAUUAAAGCGGAUAACCCAGAAGAAGCUAUUAACGAAUUUUCAGAAAUCCCCGCUCUAGAGGAGGAGAAAGGCGACUGGGGAUUUAAAGGCUUAAAGCAAGCGAUAAAACUAGAAUUUAAACUUGGUCGAUAUGAAGAUGCCGUUGAACAUUAUCGCGAACUGCUCACCUACAUUAAAUCCGCCGUCACAAGAAACUACUCCGAGAAAUCGAUCAAUAACAUGCUGGAUUACAUCGAAAAAGGGUCUGAUGACGCAAAGGCGUACCAUUGCAUGGAGAAAUUUUACUCCUUAACGCUGGACUCCUUCCAGAAUACCAACAAUGAACGGCUUUGGCUAAAGACUAAUAUAAAGUUGGCCAGACUCUGGCUUGAUCGCAGAGAGUACGGCCUGCUAAGCAAGAAAGUGAAGGAGCUACAUCGAGCAUGUCAGCGGGAGGAUGGGACGGAUGAUCCAGCUAAGGGGACAUAUUCACUGGAGGUCUAUGCCCUGGAAAUCCAGAAUAAACGGUUAAAAGCACUCUAUCAGAGGGCGCUCACCGUGCGGUCCGCCGUGCCACAUCCGAAAAUCAUGGGAAUAAUUCGCGAAUGUGGGGGAAAAAUGCACUUGAGCGAAGAAAACUGGAAAGAGGCACAGAGUGAUUUCUUCGAAUCGUUUCGGAACUAUGACGAAGCUGGCUCAAUGCAGAGGAUCCAGGUCCUAAAGUACCUUGUUUUGACAACCAUGUUAAUGAAGUCUAAUAUCAACCCCUUCGACUCCCAAGAGACCAAACCAUACAAAUCAGACCCGCGGAUAUCCGCUAUGACUGACCUAGUCGACGCCUUCCAACGCGAUGACAUCCACGCGUACGAAGAAAUCCUUCGCAAUAACCCGGACGUCCUCUCAGACCCCUUUAUAGCCGAGAACAUCGACGAAGUGAGUCGUAACAUGCGCACCAAAGCCGUCCUCAAAUUGAUAGCCCCUUAUACUCGCUUCAGCCUCGCCUUCAUCUCCAAACAAAUCAAGAUAUCCCUCCCCGAAGUCCAGGAUAUCCUCAGCUUCCUAAUUCUUGAUCAGAAGAUCCCAGAUGCGACGAUUGACCAGGAAACUGGCGCCGUCGUCAUCAAUAGGGCUGACGACCAUGAACGACUGCAAGCUCUGGGGACCUGGACAUCUCAACUAAACUCGUUGUGGCGGAGUGUUUUGACCAAUGCGGACGGGUUUAGAAUCGAGGAUAGUGCUCGUAUCCACGCGACUUUGGUGAAUACCGACGGGGGUUAUGG